RNAcentral lists this ribosomal RNA (494 nucleotides) under uncultured bacterium. RNAcentral's name for it is "partial 16S ribosomal RNA". It matches the Rfam family "Bacterial small subunit ribosomal RNA", at positions 29 to 507 of the family's 1533-position model. The record is from RNAcentral.
ACGAACGCUGGCGGCGUGCCUAAUACAUGCAAGUAGAACGCUGAAGGAGGAGCUUGCUUCUCCGGAUGAGUUGCGAACGGGUGAGUAACGCGUAGGUAACCUGCCUGUUAGCGGGGGAUAACUAUUGGAAACGAUAGCUAAUACCGCAUAACAGUAGAUGUUGCAUGACAUUUGCUUAAAAGGUGCAAUUGCAUCACUACCAGAUGGACCUGCGUUGUAUUAGCUAGUUGGUGAGGUAACGGCUCACCAAGGCGACGAUACAUAGCCGACCUGAGAGGGUGAUCGGCCACACUGGGACUGAGACACAGCCCAGACUCCUACGGGAGGCAGCAGUAGGGAAUCUUCGGCAAUGGACGGAAGUCUGACCGAGCAACGCCGCGUGAGUGAAGAAGGUUUUCGGAUCGUAAAGCUCUGUUGUAAGAGAAGAACGAGUGGGAGAGUGGAAAGUUCACACUGUGACGGUAUCUUACCAGAAAGGGACGGCUAACUACGUG